RNAcentral lists this long non-coding RNA (807 nucleotides) under Erythranthe guttata (spotted monkey flower). RNAcentral describes it as "long non-coding RNA (EGUT_LNC002410)". The record is from RNAcentral. Lineage: Eukaryota; Viridiplantae; Streptophyta; Magnoliopsida; Lamiales; Phrymaceae.
UUUUUUUUUUUUUUUUUUUUUUUUUUUUUUUUUUUUUUUUAUAAUAUCGUUAGUCAACAUAAAGUAAACAAUUAAAUAGUUCUUGAAAGAAAAAACAAAUAAUAAAACACUAGAAAUAGGAAUUAUUAUGAAAUUACACUACACAGAGAGAGGAAGAACAAAUUAGAGCAUGCAAGAACAGUAGUGAGUCCAACCACAGUAUUCACUUAAUUAAAUUUAUCUAAAUGCAAUUUUAAUUAUUGAAAUGUGUAAUUUUAUAAUUAAGAGAAAAUAAAUAAAAAAAAUUAGAAAAAUGCAAAUAAUUAAUUAAUUGAUGCAUGUGACCAACCAAUUGCAGUGUCAUCCUUGCAUUUGCGAUGCCUAUACCCUGCAGAUAUACACAAGGAGGAAGUCCUCUGUUUUUAAGGCAGGAACAGAAGUAACAAAGAAAACAGAAAAGAAAAAAAAAAAUAGGGAAAAUAAAUAAAGUAGAAAAAAUGAAUUGUUCUUACUGUAUGAGAAAUGAGAGGCGGCGGCGGCAGAAUCAACCAGCUUUACUGGGGUUUCAAUUAAACCCACACCAUCUUCAUUGUCCGAAUGAAUUUCCAUUUUACAAAAUAAAAUUUGCAAAAGAGAAAAUUAGAAAACAUGCAUGCAUGAGAAGAAAACAAGAGAGCAGAUAUAUAGAUAUGAACUCUGCAGCGAAGGAAAUAUAGAUGAAAGCUUUAAUUCAGAUGAUCAGAAAAAGAAAGUGGAGUUAUAUAUAUGUAUAGGGAAUUGGAAUUAAUCACAGAAACUCAUGCAAAGCAGUAACAAAUAGCAAUGAUG